RNAcentral lists this ribosomal RNA (923 nucleotides) under uncultured bacterium. RNAcentral's name for it is "bacterial SSU rRNA". It matches the Rfam family "Bacterial small subunit ribosomal RNA", at positions 73 to 1010 of the family's 1533-position model. The record is from RNAcentral.
GCCGACUUCGGUCGGUGGAGAGUGGCGCACGGGUGCGUAACACGUAGCUCACCUGCCCUCAAGACGGGAAUAACGGUUGGAAACAGCCGCUAAUACCCGAUAAGCUCCCGCGCUGUAGAGGCGUGCGAGAAAAGGUUACGGCGCAUGAGGAUGGGGCUGCGGUCCAUCAGCUAGAUGGUGAGGUAACGGCUCACCAUGGCAACGACGGAUAGGGGACCUGAGAGGGUGACCCCCCACACUGGCACUGAGACACGGGCCAGACUCCUACGGGAGGCAGCAGUGAGGAAUAUUGCACAAUGGGCGCAAGCCUGAUGCAGCGACGCCGCGUGGGCGACGAAGGUCUUCGGAUCGUAAAGCCCUUUUCUGCGCGACGAGAACGGACGGUAGCGCAGGAAUAAGUCUCGGCUAACUACGUGCCAGCAGCCGCGGUAAAACGUAGGAGGCGAGCGUUAUCCGGAGUUACUGGGCGUAAAGCGCGUGUAGGCGGCCUAGAGGGUCUGAUGUGAAAGCUCCCAGGCUAAACCGGGAGAGGUCAUUGGAAACCGUUAGGCUAGAGGGUGAUAGAGGGGCGUGGAAUUCCGGGUGUAGUGGUGAAAUGCGUAGAGAUCCGGAGGAACACCAGUGGCGAAGGCGGCGCCCUGGGUCACACCUGACGCUGAGACGCGACAGCAUGGGGAGCGAACGGGAUUAGAAACCCCGGUAGUCCAUGCCGUAAACGAUGCACACUGGGUGUGCGGAUCGGGAAACCGGUUUGCGUGCCGAAGUUAACACGGUAAGUGUGCCGCCUGGGGAGUACGGUCGCAAGGCUAAAACUCAAAGGAAUUGACGGGGGCCCGCACAAGCAGCGGAGCGUGUGGUUUAUUCGAAGCUACGCGAAGAACCUUACUCAGGCUUGACAUCCUCUGGACGACGUGGAAACAACG